This 497-nucleotide ribosomal RNA is filed under the name uncultured bacterium. RNAcentral's name for it is "partial 16S ribosomal RNA". It matches the Rfam family "Bacterial small subunit ribosomal RNA", at positions 28 to 507 of the family's 1533-position model. The record is from RNAcentral.
GACGAACGCUGGCGGCGUGCCUAAUACAUGCAAGUAGAACGCUGAAGCUUGGUGCUUGCACCGAGCGGAUGAGUUGCGAACGGGUGAGUAACGCGUAGGUAACCUGCCUGGUAGCGGGGGAUAACUAUUGGAAACGAUAGCUAAUACCGCAUAAGAGUAGAUGUUGCAUGACAUUUGCUUAAAAGGUGCAAUUGCAUCACUACCAGAUGGACCUGCGUUGUAUUAGCUAGUUGGUGAGGUAACGGCUCACCAAGGCAACGAUACAUAGCCGACCUGAGAGGGUGAUCGGCCACACUGGGACUGAGACACGGCCCAGACUCCUACGGGAGGCAGCAGUAGGGAAUCUUGGGCAAUGGACGGAAGUCUGAGCGAGAAACGCCGCGGGAGGGAAGAAGGGUGUCGGAUCGUAAAGCUCUGUUGUAAGAGAAGAAAGAGUGUGAGAGUGGAAAGUUCACACUGUGACGGUAACUUAUCAGAAAGGGACGGCUAACUACGUG